CCUACGGGAGGCAGCAGUAGGGAAUCUUCCACAAUGGGCGAAAGCCUGAUGGAGCAACGCCGCGUGGGUGAAGAAGGUCUUCGGAUCGUAAAACCCUGUUGUUAGAGAAGAAAGUGCGUGAGAGUAACUGUUCACGUUUCGACGGUAUCUAACCAGAAAGCCACGGCUAACUACGUGCCAGCAGCCGCGGUAAUACGUAGGUGGCAAGCGUUAUCCGGAUUUAUUGGGCGUAAAGGGAACGCAGGCGGUCUUUUAAGUCUGAUGUGAAAGCCGUCGGCUUAACCGGAGUAGUGCAUUGGAAACUGGGAGACUUGAGUGAAGAAGAGGAGAGUGGAAAUCCAUGUGUAGCGGUGAAAUGCGUAGAUAUAUGGAAGAACACCAGUGGCGAAAGCGGCUCUCUGGGCUGUAACUGACGCUGAGGUUCGAAAGCGUGGGUAGCAAACAGGAUUAGAUACCCCAGUAGUC
This 465-nucleotide ribosomal RNA is filed under the name uncultured bacterium. Its description in RNAcentral is "partial 16S ribosomal RNA". It matches the Rfam family "Bacterial small subunit ribosomal RNA", at positions 338 to 795 of the family's 1533-position model. The record is from RNAcentral.